RNAcentral lists this ribosomal RNA (480 nucleotides) under Pseudomonas sp. RNAcentral describes it as "bacterial SSU rRNA". It matches the Rfam family "Bacterial small subunit ribosomal RNA", at positions 356 to 828 of the family's 1533-position model. The record is from RNAcentral. Lineage: Bacteria; Pseudomonadati; Pseudomonadota; Gammaproteobacteria; Pseudomonadales; Pseudomonadaceae.
GGGGAAUAUUGGACAAUGGGCGAAAGCCUGAUCCAGCCAUGCCGCGUGUGUGAAGAAGGUCUUCGGAUUGUAAAGCACUUUAAGUUGUGAGGAAGGGAAGAAAGUUAAUACCUUGCUGUUUUGACGUUACCAACUGAAUAAGCACCGGCUAACUCUGUGCCACCAGCCGCGGUAAUACGGAGGGUGCAAGCGUUAAUCGGAAUUACUGGGCGUAAAGCGCGCGUAGGUGGUUCGUUAAGUUGGAUGUGAAAACCCCGGGCUCAACCUGGGAACUGCAUCCAAAACUGGCGAGCUAGAGUACUGUAGAGGGUGGUGGAAUUUCCUGUGUACGGUGAAAUGCGUAGAUAUAUGAAGGAACACCAGUGGCCAAUGCGACCACGUGGACUGAUACUGACACUGUGGUGCGAAAGCGUGGGGAGCAAACAAGAUUAGAUACCCUGGUACUCCGCGCCUCCACACCAUGUCAACUAGUCCGUUGGA